Molecule: ribosomal RNA, 405 nt
Filed under: uncultured bacterium
Lineage: Bacteria
Description: bacterial SSU rRNA
Rfam family: Bacterial small subunit ribosomal RNA
Source: RNAcentral
UGGGGAAUAUUGCACAAUGGGGGAAACCCUGAUGCAGCAACGCCGCGUGAAGGAUGACGGUUUUCGGAUUGUAAACUUCUGUUCUCGUUGACGAAGACAGUGACGGUAAACGAGGAGCAAGCCACGGCUAACUACGUGCCAGCAGCCGCGGUGAUACGUAGGUGGCAAGCGUUGUCCGGAAUUACUGGGUGUAAAGGGAGCGCAGGCGGGAGAGCAAGUCAGCUGUGAAAACCACGGGCUUAACCUGUGGACUGCAGUUGAAACUGUUCUUCUUGAGUGAAGUAGAGGUAAGCGGAAUUCCGAGUGUAGCGGUGAAAUGCGUAGAGAUUCGGAGGAACACCAGUGGCGAAGGCGGCUUACUGGGCUUUAACUGACGCUGAGGCUCGAAAGUGUGGGGAGCAAACA